GCACAAGCAGUGGAGUAUGUGGUUUAAUUCGAAGCAACGCGAAGAACCUUACCAGGUCUUGACAUCCGAUGCAUAGUGCAGAGAUGCAUGAAGUCCUUCGGGACAUCGAGACAGGUGGUGCAUGGUUGUCGUCAGCUCGUGUCGUGAGAUGUUGGGUUAAGUCCCGCAACGAGCGCAACCCUUAUUGCCAGUUACUACGCAAGAGGACUCUGGUCAGACUGCCGUUGACAAAA
RNAcentral lists this ribosomal RNA (233 nucleotides) under uncultured bacterium. RNAcentral describes it as "partial 16S ribosomal RNA". It matches the Rfam family "Bacterial small subunit ribosomal RNA", at positions 923 to 1163 of the family's 1533-position model. The record is from RNAcentral.